Molecule: long non-coding RNA, 226 nt
Filed under: Lathyrus oleraceus (garden pea)
Lineage: Eukaryota; Viridiplantae; Streptophyta; Magnoliopsida; Fabales; Fabaceae
Description: Pisum sativum (pea) long non-coding RNA (PSAT_LNC015673)
Source: RNAcentral
UUACAUGUACUUGCACUUGUACUCAUUUAUUUUAAUGGAUAAUCAUCCGUAUUUGUAAUUGUCAUACCCCAAAAUUCACCCUACCCCGAUACAAUUUUCAUCUGAUCCAUGACCCUACUGCACAUGCGUACAUUCAUUAUUUAAAAAAAUAAAAUAAAUAAAAAAUUAAAAAAUUGGGUAACCGGUUACCCUAAUCAGGGUAACCGAUUAACCAGACCAAAAAUUG